Paramuricea clavata is the source of this 1260-nucleotide non-coding RNA. Lineage: Eukaryota; Metazoa; Cnidaria; Anthozoa; Malacalcyonacea; Plexauridae. The record is from the annotation of a GenBank genome assembly.
GAAACAUACUUCAAUUUUUGUAAUUUUUCGUUUAUUACUAUGAUCCAUAUAGAAGCUGUGGUAAGUUUAAGCUAUUAAACUACAACCAGCGUUCGUUGCAAAGGUUCUGCAGCACACAUUAUCUUAAAAAUAGAAAGAGAGUGUGGUCAGUUUUCGGUUGCAUUGACAACCAAAUAAACGUACAAAAAUGUUUGGUUAAUGUUUGUGAUGUUACUCUGAGUGUAUAUCCACACCGGGCAAGUAUCGAACCGACCUGACUGCGUAGCUCAGUUGGCAGACCAUUGGGCUAGUAUUCCAAAGGUCGCAGGUUCGAUUCCGUGGCCAGGCAUAUUUUUCAAGCUUGCCCGGUGUGGAUAUGCAUUCGGAGUAACAUCACAAACAUCAUAUUCACCUGAGUACAUAAUGGUGAACACAGAAAAAAUCAUGUUUGGUUAGGUAAGUUCACUUGCCAAUCGUGUGACGUCAUAACUCAAAACACAAAAAAGUGCCACAACUUGGAAAUGAAGUGAGAUGUGAACUGAAUUGUAAACGCUAUUCGAACUAUUUUGCAACCUCGAGGUUGACUAUUUUGAACAAACGUUCAAGUGAUAAUUAAGCAAUAUGAGCUCUAUAUAUAAUCUGGAGCAAGAACUCCGGUCAUUCGGCCCAUGAGAAAAGUGAAGCCAAUAUAAUUUUUCUCAGCUUUUUCUAACGGACCGUAUUGGUAAACAAGUUAUCAGUUCAUAAAACCAUAGUGUUAUUCUUUAAAUCGUUGUUUGGCUUGAAAUACGAAAUUUCCGCACACUCGAUCCUUGCUGACUUCGUGUUAACCGCGCAGAUAAAAGCAGUAUAUAAGGACUGGAACUGACGUCGAAUAGCUCUUCAAUUUUCCACGAGAAUGAGUUGCCAGUUGGCCCUUCUUACGCGCGGUCAACGGAGCGCGACGAGGGGCUCUGGCCAAAUCCAUAACCGGAUACCAUAAAAACAUGGUAAGAAAACAAUAUCCGGUGUUAGAACUAGCCAAUCAGAUGCCAGUUCGGAUAUGGAUUUGGCCAGAGCCCCUCGUCGCACCGCGCGUAAGAAGGGCUCUGGACUCUGGGUACGAGAAUGAGUUGGACAUCGAAUAGUGAUUUAAUUAAAAGUGUGGAUUUAUGAAUAUUGAUCUGCAGGGUCGCAGGUUUGACCCCUGCUGGAGGGUCUGGCUUGGUCUGAAUGAUGAUUCCAGCUAUAUUGACUAAAUUUUGAUCAAGGCAAGAAGAGCAAAAUCCAUUAGGGGCUGAC